AGGAUGAACGCUGGCGGCGUGCCUAAUACAUGCAAGUCGAGCGAACGGACGAGAAGCUUGCUUCUCUGAUGUUAGCGGCGGACGGGUGAGUAACACGUGGAUAACCUACCUAUAAGACUGGGAUAACUUCGGGAAACCGGAGCUAAUACCGGAUAAUAUUUUGAACCGCAUGGUUCAAAAGUGAAAGACGGUCUUGCUGUCACUUAUAGAUGGAUCCGCGCUGCAUUAGCUAGUUGGUAAGGUAACGGCUUACCAAGGCAACGAUGCAUAGCCGACCUGAGAGGGUGAUCGGCCACACUGGAACUGAGACACGGUCCAGACUCCUACGGGAGGCAGCAGUAGGGAAUCUUCCGCAAUGGGCGAAAGCCUGACGGAGCAACGCCGCGUGAGUGAUGAAGGUCUUCGGAUCGUAAAACUCUGUUAUUAGGGAAGAACAUAUGUGUAAGUAACUGUGCACAUCUUGACGGUACCUAAUCAGAAAGCCACGGCUAACUACGUGCCAGCAGCCGCGGUAAUACGUAGGUGGCAAGCGUUAUCCGGAAUUAUUGGGCGUAAAGCGCGCGUAGGCGGUUUUUUAAGUCUGAUGUGAAAGCCCACGGCUCAACCGUGGAGGGUCAUUGGAAACUGGAAAACUUGAGUGCAGAAGAGGAAAGUGGAAUUCCAUGUGUAGCGGUGAAAUGCGCAGAGAUAUGGAGGAACACCAGUGGCGAAGGCGACUUUCUGGUCUGUAACUGACGCUGAUGUGCGAAAGCGUGGGGAUCAAACAGGAUUAGAUACCCUGGUAGUCCACGCCGUAAACGAUGAGUGCUAAGUGUUAGGGGGUUUCCGCCCCUUAGUGCUGCAGCUAACGCAUUAAGCACUCCGCCUGGGGAGUACGACCGCAAGGUUGAAACUCAAAGGAAUUGACGGGGACCCGCACAAGCGGUGGAGCAUGUGGUUUAAUUCGAAGCAACGCGAAGAACCUUACCAAAUCUUGACAUCCUUUGACAACUCUAGAGAUAGAGCCUUCCCCUUCGGGGGACAAAGUGACAGGUGGUGCAUGGUUGUCGUCAGCUCGUGUCGUGAGAUGUUGGGUUAAGUCCCGCAACGAGCGCAACCCUUAAGCUUAGUUGCCAUCAUUAAGUUGGGCACUCUAAGUUGACUGCCGGUGACAAACCGGAGGAAGGUGGGGAUGACGUCAAAUCAUCAUGCCCCUUAUGAUUUGGGCUACACACGUGCUACAAUGGACAAUACAAAGGGCAGCGAAACCGCGAGGUCAAGCAAAUCCCAUAAAGUUGUUCUCAGUUCGGAUUGUAGUCUGCAACUCGACUACAUGAAGCUGGAAUCGCUAGUAAUCGUAGAUCAGCAUGCUACGGUGAAUACGUUCCCGGGUCUUGUACACACCGCCCGUCACACCACGA
RNAcentral lists this ribosomal RNA (1400 nucleotides) under Staphylococcus aureus. RNAcentral describes it as "bacterial SSU rRNA". It matches the Rfam family "Bacterial small subunit ribosomal RNA". Lineage: Bacteria; Bacillati; Bacillota; Bacilli; Caryophanales; Staphylococcaceae. The record is from RNAcentral.